This 6529-nucleotide long non-coding RNA is filed under the name Sus scrofa (pig). RNAcentral describes it as "lncRNA (ENSSSCG00000054841.1)". The record is from RNAcentral. Lineage: Eukaryota; Metazoa; Chordata; Mammalia; Artiodactyla; Suidae.
GAAGAGGUGGGGGCACCUGGGGUUGUACAGAUAGUGGCUGCGGGAAGCAUCUCCACUCUUAGGGCUUAGGGAAUUAAAGCAAGAAUUGAGGUACUAGGAACUUGGAGGAGGAACCCUGUAGUUCUGAGGUCCAUACAUGUUGGAGAUGGUGCCGUGCAACCAGUGAUGGUCUCUAAGGAGCUCAAUGGAGAGGCCUUUGGAGGCACAGACUCAGGAAUUCUCAGAAAGGGAUACUGGCAGCCCAAUGCUGGCACCUCUGAGAGGACAGAGGGAGCCUAUUCUGGGAGGGCUUGCAAAAUCUGGACAGAAACAGCUUUCUGCCUGCAAAGACUGAUUGCUAAGGCAAUGCUGGCAGCAAGUGAACAUGAAGUAAUGUCUCCAUUGCCCUUUCUCCUGUCCCCCUCCUCCCAAAAUCUCUUCAGUGCCCCUGAUUACAGAACCUAAUCAGAAAACAGCUGGCAAAAGAGGAUUGUGGUGUGCAGAGACCCAGUCCUAGAAUCUCAGUGGAGAUCAUAGAUGCUACUUUGGGGGCUGUGAGACUAUAGCUAAGAAACUAGCAAAAUUCUUACCUGUUUUCUAUUGAGAGGGAAAUUAGAACAACCUUCUUUGUUCAAAGUCUGUACCUAAAAUGAACCUCUCCAGAGGACUUGAGAUGCCAAUAUUAUUUAAUGGACCCAGUAGUCUGGUUUUCAAACCUAGAUUUUGGGAAGAGAGACUCACUUGUUCCAUCCAGUACAAUUAUAAUUACUAUUUUUGCAGAAAUAGAAAUCCAAGAAGCCACCAGGAGAGUGAAGCAAAAGAAUUUGCUCUAAAGUGGCUAAUUUAAAAUUGAUCACUAUGACAUGCCUUCUUAAGCUUGAGAUGUUUCACACAAUCAGGUUUUUAGUAUUUUCAUUAGUGUCAUUUGCAUAACUGAGAUUUUAUUUAAUUCUUUUUGUAGAGGAUUCUUUUUGUAAUGAAACCAACAUAGCUAUUAAAGAGAUAGACCUGGUCUGAUGAAUAAAUGUGAUUUCAUUGUAUUUUAUGUGACUGCACUGUAAUUUCUUGCAAUAAAUUUGGCCUGUAAGGCGUGUGUGCAUAUGCAUGUGUGUGAGAGAAAGAAAGGUAUGUAGUAGGAACCAUUAAAAUUGGCAGUUUUCUUUCCACAGAACUUAGUGCCUUAUACAUUUAUUGAUGAGUUUUCAGUUCACAAAAUGUCAAUGCUAGAAUAUGUAUAUACAUGUAUAUGUACAUAUAUAUGUAUAUAUAUAAAGUUUGUUUUUCAUAAUAAUUUAAUGAUUUAAGGGCAAGAAAUAAAUAUGUUUCAGUAUCACAUGAUGGUUCUAUUUUUAGCAUUAGUCUUUUAGAAGGACAUCCACAAGUAUCGUAAAAAGAGAAAAGCUAUAACAUCCAAAUUAUUUCCUUCUCUGACACACUUGAUAUAUCUUGAUUGUCCUCAUAUGUUCUUUUGUCUGCUAUUACUGACAUUUAGAUGAUUUAUUUCAAAACAGGUUGAGUAAAAAUAGUGUUUGAUGCAUAAGUUGUGUAUAUCCCAAUCUUUACUUUCUAAUAUCUGUUUUAGAAUACCCAUUGACUUAUAAAAACAAAUAGAAUUAAAUCCAUUGUCCAAAAAUAUGUAAGCCAUAGUGUCGUCAGGGAUGGGUACAUCACAUAGAACUGUGAAUCUGCAGUCUAGAAAUACAUAUGUGAUUUUUUUUUUGGUUGUUGUUCAGAAUUAGAGGAAAAGCUGCCAGAUGGAAAAUGACACAAAGAAUUUGAGAUGAGUGUUGUUGGAAGGCGCUAAGGUUUAUUUAUUUUUUUCCAUAUUCCCAAGAGUUUUUGUUUUGUUUCAUUUAGAGAAUCCUUUGGCGAAUAUUUCAAGAUGUAGAACCCUUAUCUGUGAAGUAUCCCGAUUGAAGUUGAGGCAUCCACGUUGGCAGUGCUUCAUGUUGGGGUAAGAUGUCAUGAUUCUUAAUAUACUGGAAUGGCCUUUGAAGGAUAUGAUGAGGAAAUAUAUGUUUGUGUGUGUAAAUAAAAAUUGUGAAGGCUUGUAACCAGGUGCAUAAAUUUGGAUUUCAAAACAACUCUUUUUAAUUAUUUUGCAAAGAUUAUGUUGUGACUCCCUAAGAGGAGUGGGACAAAACAGGGAACUUAGAUUUGUUAUUGUUAACUUCCCACUUUGCAUAUUUCCAUUAUUUACCUUAGUCAGUAUGUCAACAUAACAGCCAUUGGGAGAGGGUGUGAUUGUCAUAGCACAGAUGUGGAACAUGGGCGUUCAGAGAAAUUAAAACCUUGUCCAAGAUCACGCAGCUAGUAAAGGGUACAGGAGUGAUCUGACUCUUUGCUCUACUAUUUUUGCUGCCUCUCUCAUCAUUCGUGAUGACUGAGGAGCCAGAGGAUUAAAAUAGGCUGAGGGCAAGACCCUCAAGUUUUAAAUUGCUAUUGAGCAAAGUCAUAAUUGCCAUCCCUCACAUAGAAAGCCAAAGCGAAGGAAUUUCUUUUAUAUUUUCACUACUCUUGAAAAGAGAAAGAUUUCUGAAAGUCAUUGACUAGUUACAUAGAUGAUGGUGUUUCAAAGAAAUCGAAACUUACAGAAAAACUGACAUAGGAAAUGUGUGCUAUAAUUUUCCCAUUCACCUUUGCUAUAAAAUGAAAAUCUGUAGUAGGCUUUGUCUGUGCAAAUACCCUGACAUGACCAACCACAUCAUUUAAUGGAGCUGGUACCAAUUCUUCCUUUAUGCAUUACUGAUAUGUGACUCAAGUAACUUGAGCCUCUUCCCUUUUCUGUUACUUGUACCAUGAAGUUGUUGCAAGAUUCUAUUAAAAUAAGAGAGAAACAUAUAAAAAGCACCUGUAAUUCUGCCUGGUAUACUAAAUAGCAGCCUUAUAGAAGACCUUAUGAUGUCACAGCUAUCAAAAUGUAAGCCAUUAUUUUAUCCAACAUCUAUCCAUGAAGAUUUGUAAUUAAAGGAAUGUUGAAUGUGUAAAAGAUUCCCUCCAUUCGCCAUUACUUAAAGUUAGGCCAAAAUGUAUUUUAUUUAUAUAGAAGUCAUUUGUUUGGGGGCAAUUCAGAUGGCUGAUUGAAACCUUUAGAAUUCCAGUACACUUUAGGUGCAUUCAUUUAUAUAUGGCAAUACGCAGGCUCUUUUGUUCAGGGGUUCAGCAGUACUAUUGGAUUUUGCUGAUCUAGCUUUCUUACCUGAAAGUUUUCAAACAAAACUUCACUAUUAAUUGCAAACUAGAUGCCCACUGUGUCUCUGUGAGUCAGAUUUGUUUGGGCUAUUGAACAGUGACACCCUGGGAUCUAUAAAGCAUUCUCUCAUGGACUUCAUGCUUUCAGUCUUGCUUCUGUGUUGGAUAUAAUCAGCAACAUUUCUGUGGGGACAGAUACCACACCUGAAGUUGAAGAUUACAUUUUCUCUUUGUAUGUUGUGAAAUGGAAAAAUAAAAACGAACAACUUUCAAGGUGAGAUUCUGAUAAGAAGGCUUCAUCAUCCUUGCAUUCCAAUGUGUGUUUUCACUUUUUUAUGGUAAAGUAAGAGCCUAUAAAAUUAAUGAGUGCAGUGAAGGUCUUAGACUAGAAUCUCCAACAUAAAUAGACAAAGGCUCCCCCCAGAGCACCAUGGGAAAGGAAUCUAGGCCAUUCUGUACUUAAGCUACUUUCAAUUAGUUUACAUUCUGAAAACACCUGCAAAAUUGUCCAUGUUCCUCCUACGCUGUAUUACUCCUCAAUUCAAGAGUUUGCAUGUGAAUGGAUGCUCUUAAAUAAAUAAUCCCAAAUUCCCACUUUACACCCAGCUUUGGAUGGAGUUAAGAAGUUGUUAUUUCUUAGGGAUAGAGUAUUCUUUGCUUAGGCCCUCAUUUCUUUCUGCCUUUUCUCUUUAAUAACCAUAUAUUUGCAUCAUGGUCUUUGCUAAAUUUACGUAAUGAUCAAGUUACUCAACCUCUUUUAAGCCUAGUAUUAUUCAUCAUAAUAUGAGAAUCAUAAUAAUUAUAUUACAGACACUUUCAGAUUCGACCAAGAAUAUGUAUACAUCUCUGACUGCUUAGAGCAUUGCUGAUGGUUUUAAAUGCCGGCUUUAUAUCCGGAUCUGCUUGUAGGUUUGAUAGCAUGUCGCUCUCCCAAAUAUUCAUCGAGAAUUACUUGUAAUCUUCCAAAAGAAGAACAAAAUUAAUUUAAAAGAUGAGUUUGACUCAUGGAGAGGGACCUGAGUGUUAGAGGAAGCCUCACCUUGCAUAUAUGCGCCUACCCAGGAAAAUAAGUAUUUUAUUUGUGAAUUAUCAAGCCAAGGAAAACAAAUAUUUCCCAUUUGUUUGUUCAUAUUACCUGUAUGGUAAUGUUCCUUUUAAUAUUUGUAUAUCUAGGCCAAUAGUUCUUAACCAUAUAAGUGUUUAUAAGAACAAAUAAGAAGGUGAUAAAGUGAAAAGAAAGAAGUCCCAGUUAAUGACAACAGGAACUCUGAAUUGGCUAACAUUUAUUAAAAGCCUUCUAGUAACCAGUUGCUUUCAUAUGUAUUGUUUGUCAAAUCUUGAUUCUAGUCCUUCUCAGCAGUUAACAUCCCCAUUCUACAGAUGCAUGAAAAUAGACAAAAAUUACUGGCUCAAGUCAUGGAGUUAGGAAAUGAUAGGGCCGGGAUUCAGUCUUGGCACCACAUCAGCGUGUGACUGCUACAUCUGCUUCCUAAUCCUAGGAUAAUUCAAUUUCCUAGUCACGAAAGGUUUUGUUUUAUGGCAGCCGGCAGCAUAAGCACAUAUGGGAACAAUCAGCCUGUAUUUGUUUUGUUUAAGCUCCUGAACACUUAAUUCACCAUCACCUGCUGAGUUAGGCUUUGAAAGGCAUCAGUUGAGCAGACCUAUCUCAUCUGCUUUGCAAAACUGCACAGAAAUUUUCUGAGGGAAAAAAAAAAAUGCCUCAAGUAUUUUCUGAAGAUUCUUCUUGUCUUGCACCUGUGUGACUCUUGAAUUGCAUCAAUUCAGCCAGUCUCCUUUUCAUCUAGAUCUGGCUAGUUGUCUAAGUUCUAGGUAAUAGGAGAUGAGCUACUGUAAAUGUGUGCCACAUCCAGGUUAAGUCCUCAAGGCACAUGUGCAGGCUUCUCCUCCUUCCUCUAGUAACUAAGAAAUGAAGGUGGCAUAGUAUGACCUGGUGAGCCAUCUUGUAUCAUGCAGACAAGGAUAGUUGUCUGAAGGUAGAACUGCAGAGAGGAGCCUGGCUUCCUGGCUUACUUUACAGAGCAAAACAGUUCAGAAUGGCUUCUCUGCUAAAUGUCGUAUGAAAGGUGGAUAAGCUUCACUUGUUUAACCAUUGCCAUUAAGCCAUUACACACGGUGGAAGAAGUGCUCUAGUGAAAUGCCUUCUUCCAUAAAUGUGUUAGCCAUGAAUGCCUGGCAUGCCGUGACUCAUUUGGGAAGUCCAUCUAAGCCUGAAAAGAAGCACCAAGCUCUUAAAUAAAGAACACUGGGGUGGUUAUCUCGAUGUCAUUAAUUUAAACUUUGAAGCAUCUCACCUCACCCCUCUUACUUCUUACACUAUUCUCCUGAAUACCUUCCCCUAUCUCCAUUUUCCUUUUAGCCCAUGCCCUUCCAGAGAAGUGCAUAAAUGUGUAGCUUUUAUCAGCUGUCCUAUCACCUUGAUAGUUUAUGCAUUUACAGUGUGGAGGAGACAAGCUCGAAACAACAGGAAUAAUGAACCCUGAGAGGAACUUAAGAGUCCGGCCCUGCUUAAAGACAUUCAAAGUAAACUUAAUGCAUACACAUACAUACAUAUCAGGCUAUCCAAAUAAAACUAUCAACAGGAUAACAUUAAGUAAACUUCUUGAGCUUCAAGAUAACAAUGCCCACAUCUAUACAAUCUAUAAGAUUUUCUUCAUUGUUCUUUUACCUUUCACGUAAUUCCUCACCUGGUCUAUCCUCAUUUUGCAUGCAGGACAAAACUGAUUUUUUUUUUUCUCACAUUUAGUAAUCUCCUUGGAUCUUAAUUUUAGAGAAGAUUUUAAAUCUAUACUUAUUUUCAUCAUAGCCAAAAAGUAUCUUGGUGUCUUAUGGACACCGUGUUCUCCUAGCUUCAUAAUCUAGUCUUGAGUUACUCUUUAACUGCAGUUUUGCUACAGAGAAUGCUCCCUACCAAAAUAGAGUUUUGAUGGUUGUAUUGGCACUCUGGGACCCAGACUGAGAUCCCUUGGCUCUUUAUCUUGCCUCUUAACACUUUAAUUUGUGCACCUUCUGACUAGCAGAGUACAUGCUUAGUAUAUGCCUUGAAAUGUCUCAUGGUUGAUUGGCUGCUAUAAGGCAGUAUUUUGUCAUUCUCUGUCACUCCCUUAAUGGCGUCUUCCCCCUCUAAGUGUACUUGCAGGUAUUUUCACCUCAAUGGUCUGCACAGAGUAUCUCAUUUAUUCCCCUACACCACUGAGAUAAGUAAAAUGACCUCACUUUAGUCACUGACUCAGCAAAAAAUAUACUUAGCAUUUAUUUAUGCCAGGCAUUGUUUUAAGCAAUGAGGAAGAAGGUAAUAAUAAGCCUCCCAAUUGCUCACUCUGUAAUAGGGAUGAUAAAU